Molecule: RNA transcript, 9859 nt
Organism: Homo sapiens (human)
Lineage: Eukaryota; Metazoa; Chordata; Mammalia; Primates; Hominidae
Gene: ZC3H13
Gene name: zinc finger CCCH-type containing 13
Exons: 20
Source: RefSeq, marked validated
AAACCUCUGACUUCCGGCGGCAUUUUGAGGCGGUCCUCCUAGCGGCCUGUACAAAAUGUCAAAAAUUAGAAGGAAGGUCACAGUGGAAAAUACCAAGACUAUAUCUGAUAGCACAUCCCGAAGACCCAGUGUAUUUGAGAGGCUUGGACCCAGCACUGGCAGUACAGCAGAGACACAGUGCCGUAACUGGCUGAAGACUGGCAACUGCCUCUAUGGAAACACAUGUAGAUUCGUACAUGGCCCUUCACCUCGUGGUAAAGGUUAUAGCAGCAAUUAUAGAAGGUCACCAGAAAGACCUACAGGGGAUCUUAGAGAAAGAAUGAAGAACAAGCGCCAAGACGUGGACACUGAGCCCCAGAAACGAAAUACAGAGGAGUCAUCCUCACCUGUUAGGAAAGAAUCUUCAAGAGGGAGACAUAGGGAAAAGGAAGACAUAAAAAUCACUAAGGAAAGAACUCCAGAAAGUGAAGAAGAAAAUGUAGAAUGGGAAACUAAUAGAGAUGAUUCUGACAAUGGAGAUAUUAAUUAUGAUUAUGUUCAUGAAUUGUCAUUGGAAAUGAAGCGUCAGAAGAUACAGAGGGAAUUAAUGAAGCUGGAACAAGAAAACAUGGAGAAGAGAGAAGAAAUUAUCAUUAAAAAGGAGGUUUCACCAGAAGUGGUUAGAUCAAAAUUGUCCCCGUCACCUUCUCUAAGAAAGUCUAGCAAAUCUCCGAAGCGAAAAUCAAGCCCGAAGUCGUCUUCAGCUAGCAAGAAAGAUAGGAAGACAUCUGCAGUAUCUUCUCCCCUGUUGGACCAGCAGAGAAAUUCAAAAACCAACCAAAGUAAAAAGAAAGGACCACGUACUCCUAGUCCACCCCCUCCUAUACCAGAAGAUAUCGCUCUGGGGAAAAAAUACAAAGAAAAAUAUAAAGUAAAAGACAGGAUAGAAGAAAAAACAAGAGAUGGAAAGGACAGAGGACGAGAUUUUGAACGACAAAGAGAAAAGAGAGACAAGCCAAGGACAUGAAACAACAGAGCUAGGAAUACUGGAAGAUUAUGUAAAUACCUGAUCUGCACGCACUGGAGUUCUAAAGCCAUAUGUGACAAGACAUUGGAAAAAGACAUUUUGGUUUAGGAAGAGUUAAUUACCAAGGUUCUUAGGUGGGGCUGUUAUUUUCAUUUGUCUCCAUUACUCUGAAUGAAGAAAUUACAGGCGCACCAAUUUUAUUGAAGCUCACAGAUGUUGUGUAUUUUUACAAAUGGAAGGUUUGUGGCAUCCCUGCAUUAAACAAGCCUAUCAGUGCCAUUUUUCCAAUAACAUGUGCUCACUUUGUGUCUCUGUAAUUCUUGAAAUAUUUCAAGCUUUUUCAUCAUUAUUGUAUCUGUUACGAUGGACUGUGAUCAGUAAUUGUCGCAUUACCAUUGUAAUUGUUCUGGGGUGUCGUGAACUGCACCCAUAUAAAACAGUGAACUUAAUCUGCAAAUGUGUGUGUUCUGACUGCCCUACUGACUGGCUAGUCCCCUGUCUCUCACCAUCUCCUUGGGCCUCUGUAUUCCUUGAGACACAACAAUAUUGAAAUUAGGCCAACUAAUAACCCUAUGUGUAGUGGCCUCUAAGUGUUCAAGUAGAAAGGAAGAGUCUCUUACUUUAAAUCAAAAGCUAGAAGUGAUUAAGCUUAGUGAGGAAGGCAUACUGAAAACUUAGGUGGCAAGCUAGAUCUCUUGUGCCAGUCAGCUAAGUUGUGAAUGCAAAGGAAAAGUUCUUGAAGGAAAUUUAAAGUGCUACUCCAAUGAACACAUGAAUGGGAAGAAAGCAAAACAGCCAUAUUGCUGAUGCGGACAAAGUUUGAGUGGGCUGGAUAAAAGAUCAAAGCAGCCACAGUUGAAAUCAGCCACAACAUUCCUUUAAGCCAGAGUCUAAUCUGGAGCAAGGUCCUAACUCUCUUUAAUUCUUUCGAGGCUGAAAGAGGUAAGGAAGCUGCAGGAAAAAAGUUUGAAGUUAGCAGAGGUUACUUCAUGACAUUUAACGAAUGAAGCCAUCUCCGUAGCACAAAAGUGCAAGAUGAAGCAGCACAAAAGUGCAAGAUGAAGCAGCACAUGCUGAUGAAGAAGCAGCGGCAAGUUAUCCGGAAGAUCUAGAUAAGAUAAUUGAUGUUGGCCACACUAAACAAAUUUUCAGUGUAGUUGAUACAGCCUUAUUGGAAGAAGAUGCCAUCCAAGAUGUCCAUAGCCAGAGAGGAGAAGUCAAUGCUUGGCUUCAAAGCUCCGAAGAACAGGCUGACUCUCUCGUUAGGGGCCAGUGCAGCUGGGGGUUUUAAGGUGAAGCCAGUGCUCAUUUACCAUCCUGAAAAUCCUAGGAUUUUUAAGAAUUAUGCUAAAUGUACUUUGCCUGUGCUCUUAAGUGGAAAAACAAGCAUGGAUGACAGCACAUCUGUUUACAGCAUGGUUUACUAAAUAUUUUAAGCCCACUAUUGAGACCUAUUGCUCAGAAGAAAAGAUUCCAUUCAAAAUACUACUGUUUGUUUAUGAUGUGCCUGUUUACGCAGGAGCUCUGAUGAAGAUGUCAGGAGAGAUUAAUAGUUUCAUGCUCGCUAAGACAAAAGGCACCCUACAGCCCAUGGAUCAAAGACUAAUUUUUACUUUUGAGUCUUAUUUAAAAAAUACAUUUUAUAAGGCCACAACUGCCAUAGAUAGUGAUUCCUCUGAUGGAUCUGGGCAAAAUAAAUUGAAAACUUUAUGGAAAGGAUUUACUGUUCAAGAUGCCAUUAAGAACAUUCGUCAUUCACAGGAGGAGGUCAAAAUAUUAAUAGUUACAGAAGUUAAAAGAAGUCAAUUACAACGUUCAUGGAUGACUUAGAGAAGUUCAAGACUUUAUUGAAAGAAGUAACUGCAAAUGUGGUGGAAAUAGCAAGAGAACUAGAAUUAAAAGUAGAUCCUGAAGAUGUAACUGAAUUGCUGCAAUCUCAGAUCAGACUUGAACGGAUGAGGAGUUGCAUCAUAUGGAUGAACAAAGAAAGUGGUUUCUUGAGAUGGAGUCUACUCCUGGUGAAGAUGCUAGAAACAUUUUUUUAAAUGACAGUGACACCAAAGAAUUCAGAGUGUCACAUAAACUUUGUUGACAAAGCAGCAGCAGGGUUUGAGAGGAUUGAGUCCAGGUCUACUUCCCCAGCAGGACAGCAUCAUUCUCCUAUAUCUUCUAGACAUCACUCAUCUUCCUCACAAUCAGGAUCAUCUAUUCAAAGACAUUCUCCUUCUCCUCGUCGAAAAAGAACUCCUUCACCAUCUUAUCAGCGGACACUAACUCCACCUUUACGACGCUCUGCCUCUCCUUAUCCUUCACAUUCUUUGUCGUCUCCCCAGAGAAAGCAGAGUCCUCCAAGACAUCGCUCUCCAAUGCGAGAGAAAGGGAGACAUGAUCAUGAACGAACUUCACAGUCUCAUGAUCGACGCCAUGAAAGGAGGGAAGAUACUAGGGGCAAACGAGACAGAGAAAAGGACUCAAGAGAAGAACGAGAAUAUGAACAGGAUCAGAGCUCUUCUAGAGACCACAGAGAUGACAGAGAACCUCGAGAUGGUCGGGAUCGGAGAGAUGCCAGAGAUACUAGGGACCGAAGGGAACUAAGAGACUCCAGAGACAUGCGGGACUCAAGGGAGAUGAGAGAUUAUAGCAGAGAUACCAAAGAGAGCCGUGAUCCCAGAGAUUCUCGGUCCACUCGUGAUGCCCAUGACUACAGGGACCGUGAAGGUCGAGAUACUCAUCGAAAGGAGGAUACAUAUCCAGAAGAAUCCCGGAGUUAUGGCCGAAACCAUUUGAGAGAAGAAAGUUCUCGUACGGAAAUAAGGAAUGAGUCCAGAAAUGAGUCUCGAAGUGAAAUUAGAAAUGACCGAAUGGGCCGAAGUAGGGGGAGGGUUCCUGAGUUACCUGAAAAGGGAAGUCGAGGCUCAAGAGGUUCUCAAAUUGAUAGUCACAGUAGUAAUAGCAACUAUCAUGACAGCUGGGAAACUCGAAGUAGCUAUCCUGAAAGAGAUAGAUAUCCUGAAAGAGACAACAGAGAUCAAGCAAGGGAUUCUUCCUUUGAGAGAAGACAUGGAGAGCGAGACCGUCGUGACAACAGAGAGAGAGAUCAAAGACCAAGCUCACCAAUUCGACAUCAGGGAAGGAAUGACGAGCUUGAGCGUGAUGAAAGAAGAGAGGAACGAAGAGUAGACAGAGUGGAUGAUAGGAGAGAUGAAAGGGCUAGAGAGAGAGAUCGGGAACGAGAACGAGACAGGGAGCGGGAGAGAGAGAGGGAACGUGAACGGGAUCGGGAAAGAGAAAAAGAGAGAGAACUAGAAAGAGAGCGUGCUAGGGAACGGGAGAGAGAAAGAGAAAAAGAGAGAGAUCGUGAAAGGGAUAGAGACCGAGACCACGAUCGAGAGCGGGAAAGAGAGAGGGAACGAGACAGGGAAAAAGAACGGGAACGAGAAAGAGAAGAGAGAGAGAGGGAGAGAGAGCGAGAACGGGAGAGAGAGCGAGAGCGAGAACGGGAACGAGAAAGAGCGAGAGAAAGGGAUAAAGAACGAGAACGCCAAAGGGAUUGGGAAGACAAAGACAAAGGACGAGAUGACCGCAGAGAAAAGCGAGAAGAGAUCCGAGAAGAUAGGAAUCCAAGAGAUGGACAUGAUGAAAGAAAAUCAAAGAAGCGCUAUAGAAAUGAAGGGAGUCCCAGCCCUAGACAGUCCCCGAAGCGCCGGCGUGAACAUUCUCCGGACAGUGAUGCCUACAACAGUGGAGAUGAUAAAAAUGAAAAACACAGACUCUUGAGCCAAGUUGUACGACCUCAAGAAUCUCGUUCUCUUAGUCCCUCGCACCUCACAGAAGACAGACAGGGUAGAUGGAAAGAGGAGGAUCGUAAACCAGAAAGGAAAGAGAGUUCAAGGCGCUACGAAGAACAGGAACUCAAGGAGAAAGUUUCUUCUGUAGAUAAACAGAGAGAACAGACAGAAAUCCUGGAAAGCUCAAGAAUGCGUGCACAGGACAUUAUAGGACACCACCAGUCUGAAGAUCGAGAGACAUCUGAUCGAGCUCAUGAUGAAAACAAGAAGAAAGCAAAAAUUCAAAAGAAACCAAUUAAGAAAAAGAAAGAGGAUGAUGUUGGAAUAGAGAGGGGUAACAUAGAGACAACAUCUGAAGAUGGUCAAGUAUUUUCACCAAAAAAAGGACAGAAAAAGAAAAGCAUUGAAAAAAAACGUAAAAAAUCCAAAGGUGAUUCUGAUAUUUCUGAUGAAGAAGCAGCCCAGCAAAGUAAGAAGAAAAGAGGCCCACGGACUCCCCCUAUAACAACUAAAGAGGAAUUGGUUGAAAUGUGCAAUGGUAAGAAUGGUAUUCUAGAGGACUCCCAGAAAAAAGAAGAUACAGCAUUCAGUGACUGGUCUGAUGAGGAUGUCCCUGACCGUACAGAGGUGACAGAAGCAGAGCAUACUGCCACCGCCACGACUCCUGGUAGUACCCCUUCUCCUCUAUCUUCUCUUCUUCCUCCUCCACCGCCUGUGGCUACUGCCACUGCUACAACUGUGCCUGCAACUCUUGCUGCCACUACUGCUGCUGCCGCCACCUCUUUCAGCACAUCUGCCAUCACUAUUUCCACCUCUGCCACCCCCACCAAUACCACCAAUAAUACUUUUGCCAAUGAAGACUCACACAGAAAAUGCCACAGAACACGAGUAGAAAAAGUAGAGACGCCUCACGUGACUAUAGAAGAUGCACAGCAUCGCAAGCCUAUGGAUCAAAAGAGGAGCAGCAGCCUCGGGAGCAAUCGGAGUAACCGUAGUCAUACGUCUGGUCGUCUUCGCUCCCCAUCCAAUGAUUCAGCCCAUCGAAGUGGAGAUGACCAAAGUGGUCGAAAGAGAGUACUGCACAGUGGCUCAAGAGAUAGAGAAAAAACAAAAAGCCUGGAAAUCACAGGAGAGAGAAAAUCUAGGAUUGAUCAGUUAAAGCGUGGAGAACCCAGUCGAAGUACUUCUUCAGAUCGCCAGGAUUCAAGAAGCCAUAGUUCAAGAAGAAGUUCUCCAGAGUCAGAUCGACAGGUCCAUUCAAGAUCUGGGUCAUUUGAUAGCAGAGACAGGCUUCAAGAACGAGAUCGAUAUGAACACGACAGAGAGCGCGAGAGAGAGAGGAGAGAUACGAGGCAGAGAGAAUGGGACCGAGAUGCUGAUAAAGAUUGGCCACGCAACAGGGAUCGAGAUAGAUUGCGAGAACGAGAACGAGAGAGAGAACGAGACAAAAGGAGAGACUUGGAUAGGGAAAGAGAGAGACUAAUUUCUGAUUCUGUUGAAAGGGACAGGGACAGAGACAGAGACAGAACUUUUGAGAGUUCUCAAAUAGAGUCUGUGAAACGCUGUGAAGCAAAACUGGAAGGUGAACAUGAAAGGGAUCUAGAAAGCACUUCCCGAGACUCUCUAGCCUUGGAUAAAGAGAGAAUGGAUAAAGAUCUGGGAUCUGUGCAGGGAUUUGAAGAAACAAAUAAAUCCGAGAGAACUGAGAGUCUGGAAGGAGAUGACGAGUCCAAGUUAGAUGAUGCACAUUCAUUAGGCUCUGGUGCUGGAGAAGGAUACGAGCCAAUCAGUGAUGACGAACUAGAUGAAAUUCUGGCAGGUGAUGCAGAAAAGAGGGAGGACCAACAGGAUGAGGAGAAGAUGCCAGAUCCCUUAGAUGUGAUAGAUGUGGAUUGGUCUGGUCUUAUGCCAAAGCAUCCAAAAGAACCACGAGAGCCUGGGGCUGCACUCUUAAAAUUCACACCUGGAGCUGUUAUGCUAAGAGUUGGGAUUUCUAAAAAGUUGGCAGGUUCUGAACUCUUUGCCAAAGUCAAAGAAACAUGUCAGAGACUUUUAGAAAAACCCAAAGAUGCAGACAAUCUCUUUGAACAUGAAUUGGGGGCUCUCAAUAUGGCUGCAUUACUACGAAAAGAAGAAAGAGCAAGUCUUCUUAGUAAUCUUGGCCCAUGUUGUAAGGCGUUGUGCUUCAGACGGGAUUCUGCAAUUCGAAAGCAGCUUGUUAAAAAUGAGAAGGGCACCAUAAAACAAGCUUACACGAGUGCUCCAAUGGUAGACAAUGAAUUACUUCGAUUGAGUCUUCGGUUAUUUAAGCGGAAGACUACUUGCCAUGCUCCAGGACAUGAAAAGACUGAAGAUAAUAAACUUUCACAGUCCAGUAUCCAACAGGAACUGUGUGUGUCUUAAGACCGAAGUUCAAUAUGGUAUUUUUGGUACUGUCUUCCUUCAGCAGUGCAUAUUCUUUUGCAAAGUUCUUUGGUUUGACAAGCAUUAGUGACAAAGGCAGAAAAGAUUUAUCAGCCAUGCUAAAAGAGUGAAGAAUUUUGAUCUUUAGAGACACUAGUUUUGGCCAACUUAAGAUUUUACGUUAAUUUUUACAUAGUAUUUGACACUCAUGCAAAAUAAUGUGAAAACAUCUAGAUUUAGUAGUUUAUUCUGCGCCUUUUGUUAAAACUGAAGAUUUUGGAAAAUGGUUGUCACUGCUCUUCCAGCCUAUGAAUAUUUUUGUGAAAUGGAACCAUGGAUUUAUGUCUGGAUCAUCCAUACAGAACCAACAAUUUUAUUCAAAAACAAUGUGUUCAUCAAAGUAAUUGCUCACAUUGUGCAGUACUAUGUUGUACAGACCACGUGAAAGGGAAUGCUGGUCUAGCUGGCGUGGUAUGUUUAUAGGCGAAUUUCAGCAGAAGGAAGCCAAAAUAGUUUUUUCCUUUUGAAAGUUUUUUAAAAAUUAUUUCAUGGGUCUUUUUUUUAAUUAAUAUGUGUGCAUUGUUACAAUGUAUGUUGGAUGUCUUUUGACCCUAAAUGCUUUUUUUGUUAUCAGAGAUUGUGUACUAUUUUUAUUUUUAAUAAAUGUAUCUUCCCUUUCCUUGUUUUAGAUUUACUUUGCUCUUCGUUAAUCUUAUUCCUGAUGAUCUAGAACAUUAGUCAUCAACAUUACAUGUUUCAUGCUUCAGAUAUUUUACUGCUUGUGUCCUUAUUGUUGGACAGCUUUAAACAGAGUUGAUGUACUUCAAAUAUAGCUCAUUGAUACUUAAGGCAUCUUCUUGGAAUGUGGCUUUUGAAGAAAAAAAUUACUCAAAGCAAAUCAAGAGUUAACAAACCUAACGUAACCUGAGGUUUAAUAUUCUACUAUCAUAUUUUUUAGAGCUAUAACUUUUGAUUAUAUUAAACUGCCUCCAGCUGUACUAUGUAAAACAGAUUUACUUUUAAAAAUUACAGUAUACCUGCUUUGUUCUAUAUGUAUAUGUUUAACUCAUGAAGUGGACUCUUAGAAGGAUUUGAAAUGGACUCUGGCCACAGAAUUUGUGAGCAGACAGUAGUAGUGAUAAUAAUAAAAGAAGGCAAUCAAAAUUUAAUUUUAUCAUGCCCUCUCACAGGUUUGUGUUAUAAUUGUAAGCCCAUAUUACUUGUGUUAGUAGUUUUGUCUCUAUAGGUAACAUAAUGACAGUGGUGUAAAGUUUCUGUUCAAGAAACAUAUGUUGUAAAGUUACUUUAUACAAGAUACCUGCCAAAGGAAAUGGUCUUACUUUCAAAUGACUUUGAAAGCAUGUAUAAUUGCAAACAGAGCAGGAGAAGACUUUAAUCAGAAUUUCCUUGUGUCCUUUUCCUUUACUAAGUGUUUUGAAUAAAGAAAAAAAAAAUGUAUGACCUCAGAGAAUGAAUACCCUUCAGGAAGCCACUUCCUGAUUUUAGUGGAUAAUAUUGUUCUCUGUAGCACAAAGAUUUAAAGUCCUAGAAUUUCUAAUCCUAGUUCUCAGAAUUGUAGAAUAUGACAAAAAUAAUGGUUUCCCCAUUUGUCCACUGACUUCAGGGAUAUUUCACAAGUUAUUUAUUUAUAGAAUGAAAACUAUGUAGUUAAAUCUGUCAUUCAGUUAAACCUGUUGUCUUUCAGUUUGAAAUCUUUUUGUUAUGUAUGUUGCAAAAGAAAAUUUAGAACUAUUCCUUUGUUCACUCAGUCACAGCAUUCAGAGCUUUAUGUUUCCAGUGGAAAUGUACUGUUCAGUCUCAAUUUCUUUUAAUUCAACCAUUCUCAGUAUUAGUAACAUAUACCUAUAAAAUUUUUCUAAAGCAAAAUUUUUGAUUGAAUUUCUCAUAAAAGCUCUUGGACCAUAAUUAAAGUCUCAGUUAAACUGGUAUUCCCGAAAAACAAUCUUCCAGUCUAUAAAUUGUUUGCUAGUACAAUUAAAAGGUCAUCUAUCUCAUAACUGACGGCUCAGGUCUGUCCAGUUGCCAUAAUUGCACAACUGGAUUCCAGCUGCUGGUAAUAAGGAAUUGUGUAGAUAGAUAAAGGGCAAGAGUAUGUCUGCAAUCCAAAAUAAAUGAGAGUUAACACAUAAUUAGCCUUUUGAUUAUUUUGGCAGCUAUCCUCACCAUUUAGUAAAGGGUAUACUAACAAUACCCAACUUUAUUUAACAAAGUUUUGUAAGCAUACCUAAGUAGUAACUUGAUAUGCUGAAAAAUCUGACCUGUCACUUCGCUUCACUCUGACCAGUAAUUGCAGAUUGUCGUCACCAUCCUAGCCUAUGACUACAUUAGGAUUUUAUGACUUAUUAACUUGAAAAUCUGUUCUGUAAGUGGCAUUGGUAGAAUCUCCCACUUUGCUCCUCACUGUCCAAUUGUGUAAAGAUUAAGGUACAUACUAUUGUUGGUGAUGCUUUUACACCUCAACUUGCUAUUUUAAAAGGUUAUAUGAACCCCUCCCACUUUUAAGGAUAUUCCCUUUUACUGAUUUUCCUAGCUAAAAUUAUAUAGCCAUCUUUCUAAAUAUUGUAUUUAAAUCUGAUCUAGGACUUGCCUUAUUUUAUCAUUUUUCUUUAAUAAUCUCCAAUAAACUUUCUUUAUUCAUUAA